Molecule: ribosomal RNA, 410 nt
Filed under: Massilimicrobiota sp. An142
Lineage: Bacteria; Bacillati; Bacillota; Erysipelotrichia; Erysipelotrichales; Erysipelotrichaceae
Description: bacterial LSU rRNA
Rfam family: Bacterial large subunit ribosomal RNA
Source: RNAcentral
AGGUUAAGCGAAGAAGAGCGUAUGGUGGAUGCCUAGACACCAGGAGGCGAAGAAGGACGCAGCAAACGGCGAAACGCGACGGCGAGCAGUAAGCAGGCAACGACCCGUCGAUAUCCGAAUGGGGGAACCCGCCAUCCACGAGGGUGGCAUCGCGCAAGCGAGGCAAUACGCAGGGAACUGAAACAUCUCAGUACCUGCAGGAGAAGAAAGUAAAAACGAUUCCGUAAGUAGUGGCGAGCGAAAGCGGAGGAGCCCAAACCAUCAGAUGAUGGGGUUAUAGGGCUGCCGAGAAAGUCGAUGCGACAUGACAGGAGAAGCGCAGGGGAAGGCGCAGCGAAGAGGGUGAAACUCCCGUAUCCGAAGUCGUGAAGCAGGGCGAGGCAGACCCUGAGUACGUCGGGGCACGAGGA